Long non-coding RNA from Cydia amplana, 360 nucleotides. RefSeq lists it as uncharacterized. NCBI's taxonomy places the organism in Eukaryota, Metazoa, Arthropoda, Insecta, Lepidoptera, Tortricidae. The record is from RefSeq and is a predicted model, not a curated record. The transcript is spliced from 2 exons.
UUUUACCACUUUGGAAGUGUCUCUCUCGCAAACUAUUCAGUUUAGAAAAAAAUGAUAUUAGGAACCUCAAUAUCAUUUUUGAAGACCUAUCCAUAGAAACCCCACACGUAUGGGUUUGUUGAAAAAAAUUUUUUUGAGGUAUUUUGACGUAUUAAAAAAAAACUACUUACUAGAUCUCGUCCAAACCAAUUUUCGGUGGAAGUUUGCAUGGUAAUGUACAUCAUAUAUUUUUUUUAGUUUUAUCAUUCUCUUAUUUUAGAAGUUACAGGGGGGGACACACAUUUUACCACUUUGGAAGUGUCUAUCGCGCCAACUAUUCAGUUUAGAAAAAAAUGAUAUUAGAAACCUCAAUAUCAUUUU